This 72-nucleotide transfer RNA is filed under the name Sceliphron madraspatanum. Its description in RNAcentral is "tRNA-Lys". The record is from RNAcentral. Lineage: Eukaryota; Metazoa; Arthropoda; Insecta; Hymenoptera; Sphecidae.
CAUUAAAUGACUGAAAGUAAGUAAUAGCCUCUUAAGCUAAUUUAUAGAAAAUUAACGAUUUUCUUUUAAUGA